CCUACGGGUGACAGCAGUGGGGAAUAUUGCACAAUGGGGGGAACCCUGAUGCAGCGACGCCGCGUGAGUGAAGAAGUAUUUCGGUAUGUAAAGCUCUAUCAGCAGGGAAGAAAAUGACGGUACCUGACUAAGAAGCCCCGGCUAACUACGUGCCAGCAGCCGCGGUAAUACGUAGGGGGCAAGCGUUAUCCGGAUUUACUGGGUGUAAAGGGAGCGCAGACGGCUGUGCAAGUCUGGAGUGAAAGGCGGGGGCACAACCCCCGGACUGCUCUGGAAACUGUAAAGCUGGAGUGCAGGAGAGGUAAGCGGAAUUCCUAGUGUAGCGGUGAAAUGCGUAGAUAGUAGGAGGAACACCAGUGGCGAAGGCGGCUUACUGGACUGCAACUGACGUUGAGGCUCGAAAGCGUGGGGAGCAAACAGGAUUAGAUACCCUAGUAGUC
RNAcentral lists this ribosomal RNA (440 nucleotides) under uncultured bacterium. Its description in RNAcentral is "partial 16S ribosomal RNA". It matches the Rfam family "Bacterial small subunit ribosomal RNA", at positions 338 to 795 of the family's 1533-position model. The record is from RNAcentral.